This 279-nucleotide ribosomal RNA is filed under the name uncultured bacterium. Its description in RNAcentral is "partial 16S ribosomal RNA". It matches the Rfam family "Bacterial small subunit ribosomal RNA", at positions 506 to 784 of the family's 1533-position model. The record is from RNAcentral.
UGCCAGCAGCCGCGGUAAUACGGAGGGUGCGAGCGUUAAUCGGAGUUACUGGGCGUAAAGCGCGCGUAGGCGGUUUGUUAAGUCAGCUGUGAAAGCCCCGGGCUCAACCUGGGAACUGCAGUUGAUACUGGCCGACUAGAGUACGAGAGAGGGAGGUAGAAUUCCAUGUGUAGCGGUGAAAUGCGUAGAUAUGUGGAGGAAUACCAGUGGCGAAGGCGGCCACCUGGACUGAUACUGACGCUGAGGUGCGAAAGCGUGGGGAGCAAACAGGAUUAGAUA